Molecule: ribosomal RNA, 491 nt
Filed under: uncultured bacterium
Lineage: Bacteria
Description: partial 16S ribosomal RNA
Rfam family: Bacterial small subunit ribosomal RNA
Source: RNAcentral
AGUGAACGCUGGCGGUAGGCCUAACACAUGCAAGUCGAACGGCAGCACAGUAAGAGCUUGCUCUUACGGGUGGCGAGUGGCGGACGGGUGAGGAAUACAUCGGAAUCUACUUUUUCGUGGGGGGUAACGUAGGGAAACUUACGCUAAUACCGCAUACGACCUACGGGUGAAAGCAGGGGAUCUUCGGACCUUGCGCGAUUGAAUGAGCCGAUGUCGGAUUAGCUAGUUGGCGGGGUAAAGGCCCACCAAGGCGACGAUCCGUAGCUGGUCUGAGAGGAUGAUCAGCCACACUGGAACUGAGACACGGUCUAGACUCCUACGGGAGGCAGCAGUGGGGAAUAUUGGACAAUGGGCGCAAGCCUGAUCCAGCCAUACCGCGUGGGUGAAGAAGGCCUUCGGGUUGUAAAGCCCCUUUGUUGGGAAAGAAAAGCAGCAGGUUAAUACCCCGCUGUUCUGACGGUACCCAAAGAAUAAGCACCGGCUACUUCGUG